UGACCGCUGGCGGCGUGCCUAAUACAUGCACGUCGAGCGACCAGACGAGGAGCUUGCUCCUCUGACGUUAGCGGCGGACGGGUGAGUAACACGUGGAUAACCUACCUAUAAGACUGGGAUAACUUCGGGAAACCGGAGCUAAUACCGGAUAAUAUAUUGAACCGCAUGGUUCAAUAGUGAAAGACGGUUUUGCUGUCACUUAUAGAUGGAUCCGCGCCGCAUUAGCUAGUUGGUAAGGUAACGGCUUACCAAGGCAACGAUGCGUAGCCGACCUGAGAGGGUGAUCGGCCACACUGGAACUGAGACACGGUCCAGACUCCUACGGGAGGCAGCAGUAGGGAAUCUUCCGCAAUGGGCGAAAGCCUGACGGAGCAACGCCGCGUGAGUGAUGAAGGUCUUCGGAUCGUAAAACUCUGUUAUUAGGGAAGAACAAAUGUGUAAGUAACUAUGCACGUCUUGACGGUACCUAAUCAGAAAGCCACGGCUAACUACGUG
RNAcentral lists this ribosomal RNA (495 nucleotides) under uncultured bacterium. RNAcentral's name for it is "partial 16S ribosomal RNA". It matches the Rfam family "Bacterial small subunit ribosomal RNA", at positions 30 to 507 of the family's 1533-position model. The record is from RNAcentral.